This 1460-nucleotide ribosomal RNA is filed under the name uncultured organism. Its description in RNAcentral is "SSU rRNA". It matches the Rfam family "Bacterial small subunit ribosomal RNA". The record is from RNAcentral.
CUCAGAUUGAACGCUGGCGGCAGGCCUAACACAUGCAAGUCGAGCGGUAGCACAGAGAGCUUGCUCUCGGGUGACGAGCGGCGGACGGGUGAGUAAUGUCUGGGAAACUGCCUGAUGGAGGGGGAUAACUACUGGAAACGGUAGCUAAUACCGCAUAACGUCGCAAGACCAAAGUGGGGGACCUUCGGGCCUCAUGCCAUCAGAUGUGCCCAGAUGGGAUUAGCUAGUAGGUGGGGUAACGGCUCACCUAGGCGACGAUCCCUAGCUGGUCUGAGAGGAUGACCAGCCACACUGGAACUGAGACACGGUCCAGACUCCUACGGGAGGCAGCAGUGGGGAAUAUUGCACAAUGGGCGCAAGCCUGAUGCAGCCAUGCCGCGUGUGUGAAGAAGGCCUUCGGGUUGUAAAGCACUUUCAGCGGGGAGGAAGGCGUUAAGGUUAAUAACCUUGGCGAUUGACGUUACCCGCAGAAGAAGCACCGGCUAACUCCGUGCCAGCAGCCGCGGUAAUACGGAGGGUGCAAGCGUUAAUCGGAAUUACUGGGCGUAAAGCGCACGCAGGCGGUCUGUCAAGUCGGAUGUGAAAUCCCCGGGCUCAACCUGGGAACUGCAUUCGAAACUGGCAGGCUAGAGUCUUGUAGAGGGGGGUAGAAUUCCAGGUGUAGCGGUGAAAUGCGUAGAGAUCUGGAGGAAUACCGGUGGCGAAGGCGGCCCCCUGGACAAAGACUGACGCUCAGGUGCGAAAGCGUGGGGAGCAAACAGGAUUAGAUACCCUGGUAGUCCACGCCGUAAACGAUGUCGAUUUGGAGGUUGUGCCCUUGAGGCGUGGCUUCCGGAGCUAACGCGUUAAAUCGACCGCCUGGGGAGUACGGCCGCAAGGUUAAAACUCAAAUGAAUUGACGGGGGCCCGCACAAGCGGUGGAGCAUGUGGUUUAAUUCGAUGCAACGCGAAGAACCUUACCUGGUCUUGACAUCCACAGAACUUUCCAGAGAUGGAUUGGUGCCUUCGGGAACUGUGAGACAGGUGCUGCAUGGCUGUCGUCAGCUCGUGUUGUGAAAUGUUGGGUUAAGUCCCGCAACGAGCGCAACCCUUAUCCUUUGUUGCCAGCGGUUCGGCCGGGAACUCAAAGGAGACUGCCAGUGAUAAACUGGAGGAAGGUGGGGAUGACGUCAAGUCAUCAUGGCCCUUACGACCAGGGCUACACACGUGCUACAAUGGCAUAUACAAAGAGAAGCGACCUCGCGAGAGCAAGCGGACCUCAUAAAGUAUGUCGUAGUCCGGAUUGGAGUCUGCAACUCGACUCCAUGAAGUCGGAAUCGCUAGUAAUCGUAGAUCAGAAUGCUACGGUGAAUACGUUCCCGGGCCUUGUACACACCGCCCGUCACACCAUGGGAGUGGGUUGCAAAAGAAGUAGGUAGCUUAACCUUCGGGAGGGCGCUUACCACUUUGUGAUUCAUGAC